RNAcentral lists this long non-coding RNA (416 nucleotides) under Notechis scutatus (mainland tiger snake). Its description in RNAcentral is "lncRNA (ENSNSUG00000019633.1)". Lineage: Eukaryota; Metazoa; Chordata; Lepidosauria; Squamata; Elapidae. The record is from RNAcentral.
CCUAAACAGUGUCCUGACUGCUUGACUGUUUUAUGUGUAAGCAAUUCGUCUGGGAGCCUUUCCGUUGUGAGAACGAAGGCUGAUUCAACGUGCAGGAGAGGGCUGGAUAACAGGAUCCUUCCCUACUAGCUGGGAUGGCCCUUGACACAGUUGAGGAUACACACUUGAGUUGCAGAAGGAAACUUUGGAUCAGAGUUACAAGCAAUCUCAUUUUUUAAAACGCCUGGGGCGUAGAGAUCUUCUUUCAUGGGCUUUUGAAAAGUUUAGGAAAGAGAGGUUAGCAAGACACACUUCUCAGCUGUUUUUGGAGUCCUAACCCUUGACACUAUUCCUACUGUUGCUGCUCUUCUAGCAUGUUGCAUGUAAGUAUAUAUGUACCAGGUCUAUCAAGGCUGGUUUGUCUUUGUGGGGGUCUA